RNAcentral lists this long non-coding RNA (387 nucleotides) under Brassica napus (rape). RNAcentral describes it as "long non-coding RNA (BNAP_LNC019898)". Lineage: Eukaryota; Viridiplantae; Streptophyta; Magnoliopsida; Brassicales; Brassicaceae. The record is from RNAcentral.
UCAAUUUGUGAAUAAUCCAUUUUUCGUACAUACGGUAUAAAGUAAUAUGGAACAUCAACAAAUUGGCAAGUCAUGCGUGAUUAAAUGCUAUUUCUUCUAUGACGAUGAAACGUGUCUGAAUUGAUCAUACUUGAGUAUUGAGUCAUUAGACUGGUGUCGGAUUUGUGUUCAAUAUAAUUAUUACAAACUUCCUUUUGCCAAAGAAAAAGUGCUUACAAGUUACAAGAUAAGAAAGAUAUCUCUUAUAUUUCAUUCUGUAUAUUCUUUUCUUCUUAUCCCAUGAUUCCCUAAUGCUACCAAACAGAACGUUUACAUAUAGACUUUUAAUACAAUGAGAGACAAAUAAUCAAGUUAAUAUGCGUAUAUGACUCUCUGACCAUCUCCCAC